Molecule: transfer RNA, 76 nt
Filed under: Hyphomicrobiales bacterium
Lineage: Bacteria; Pseudomonadati; Pseudomonadota; Alphaproteobacteria; Hyphomicrobiales
Also listed under: 2 other names
Description: tRNA-Ala
Rfam family: tRNA
About the family: Transfer RNA (tRNA) molecules are approximately 80 nucleotides in length. Their secondary structure includes four short double-helical elements and three loops (D, anti-codon, and T loops).
Source: RNAcentral
GGGGCUGUAGCUCAGUUGGGAGAGCGCCGCAAUCGCACUGCGGAGGUCAGGGGUUCAAAUCCCCUCAGCUCCACCA